UCAGCUAGGCGCGGUGGCUCAUACCUGUAAUCCCAGCACUUUGGGAGGCCGAGGUGGAUGGAUCACCUGAGGCCCUCAAUAUGCACUCCCACGGUCCUGGGAUUUCUAUGUAAACUGGAAAACUCACGUUCUCUUGGCAGACACCGUGAGGCUGGGAGUUCCACAUGUGCUAUAAUCCAGCCACUGAAGGAUGAGAUUCUGGGUUUGAUUUUCAGUAGUCUCAGACCCGCAGCUAAAGGAGGUAAGAGUCUCUCUUGGGACAGUCAUAACUUUCAGAUUAUUCAUGUGACACUUCAGCUGGGAAUCUGAAUCCUGAGCUCACUCCCAUGAUACUUUUUCUGAGACAGAGUCUCACUCUGUAGCCCAGGCUGGAAUGCAGUGGGGCAAUCCCAGCUCACUGCAACCUCUGCCUCCCAGGUGCAAGUAAUUCUCCUGCCUCAGCCUCCCGAGUAGCUGGGAUUACAGGUGCCUGCCACCACACUUGGCUAAUUUCUGUAUUUUUAGAAGAGUUGGGGUUUUGCCAUGUUGGCCAGGGUGGUCUUGAACUCCUGACCUCAGGUGAUCUGCCCGCCUCAGGCCUCCCAAAGUGCUGGGAUUACAGGCGUGAGCCACCACACACGGC
Molecule: long non-coding RNA, 622 nt
Organism: Pan troglodytes (chimpanzee)
Lineage: Eukaryota; Metazoa; Chordata; Mammalia; Primates; Hominidae
Exons: 3
Source: RefSeq, a predicted model, not a curated record